AACGAACGCUGGCGGCAUGCCUAACACAUGCAAGUCGAACGAGACCUUCGGGUCUAGUGGCGCACGGGUGCGUAACGCGUGGGAAUCUGCCCUUGGGUUCGGAAUAACUCAGAGAAAUUUGAGCUAAUACCGGAUGAUGACGUAAGUCCAAAGAUUUAUCGCCCAAGGAUGAGCCCGCGUAGGAUUAGCUAGUUGGUGAGGUAAAGGCUCACCAAGGCGACGAUCCUUAGCNGGUCUGAGAGGAUGAUCAGCCACACUGGGACUGAGACACGGCCCAGACUCCUACGGGAGGCAGCAGUGGGGAAUAUUGGACAAUGGGCGAAAGCCUGAUCCAGCAAUGCCGCGUGAGUGAUGAAGGCCUUAGGUUGUAAAGCUCUUUUACCCGGAUGAUAAUGACAGUACCGGAGAAUAAGCUCCGGCUAACUCCGUGCCAGCCGCCGCGGUAAC
RNAcentral lists this ribosomal RNA (447 nucleotides) under uncultured bacterium. RNAcentral describes it as "bacterial SSU rRNA". It matches the Rfam family "Bacterial small subunit ribosomal RNA", at positions 29 to 524 of the family's 1533-position model. The record is from RNAcentral.